This 94-nucleotide transfer RNA is filed under the name Oscillospiraceae bacterium. RNAcentral describes it as "tRNA-Ser". It matches the Rfam family "tRNA". From Rfam's summary of the family: Transfer RNA (tRNA) molecules are approximately 80 nucleotides in length. Their secondary structure includes four short double-helical elements and three loops (D, anti-codon, and T loops). The record is from RNAcentral. RNAcentral also lists the same sequence under 1 other name. Lineage: Bacteria; Bacillati; Bacillota; Clostridia; Eubacteriales; Oscillospiraceae.
GGAGGGCUAUCGAAGUGGUCAUAACGAGCUCGACUCGAAAUCGAGUUGUCGGUGAUGAGCCGGCACGUGGGUUCGAAUCCCACGCCCUCCGCCA